CGAGCGAGGUAGCAAUACCUAGCGGCAGACGGGUGAGUAACAUGUGGGAAUCUGCCUUUUGGUUCGGAAUAACACGAGGAAACUUGUGCUAAUACCGGAUAAGCCCUUACGGGGAAAGUUUUAAUGCCAAAAGAUGAGCCCGCACUUGAUUAGUUUGUUGGUAGGGUAAUGGCCUACCAAGACUAUGAUCAAUAGCUGAUUUGAGAGGAUGAUCAGCCACACUGGGACUGAGAUACGGCCCAGACUCC
This 248-nucleotide ribosomal RNA is filed under the name uncultured bacterium. RNAcentral's name for it is "partial 16S ribosomal RNA". It matches the Rfam family "Bacterial small subunit ribosomal RNA", at positions 63 to 339 of the family's 1533-position model. The record is from RNAcentral.